Molecule: ribosomal RNA, 806 nt
Filed under: Pseudogymnoascus sp.
Lineage: Eukaryota; Fungi; Ascomycota; Leotiomycetes; Thelebolales; Thelebolaceae
Description: partial large subunit ribosomal RNA
Rfam family: Eukaryotic large subunit ribosomal RNA
Source: RNAcentral
GGCGAGUGAAGCGGUAACAGCUCAAAUUUGAAAUCUGGCCUCACGGUCCGAGUUGUAAUUUGUAGAGGAUGCUUCGAGCAUGGUCUGGCCUAAGUUCCUUGGAACAGGACGUCAUAGAGGGUGAGAAUCCCGUAUGCGGCCAGGUGCCUACGCUCAUGUGAAGCUCCUUCGACGAGUCGAGUUGUUUGGGAAUGCAGCUCAAAAUGGGUGGUAAAUUUCAUCUAAAGCUAAAUAUUGGCCAGAGACCGAUAGCGCACAAGUAGAGUGAUCGAAAGAUGAAAAGCACUUUGGAAAGAGAGUUAAACAGUACGUGAAAUUGUUGAAAGGGAAGCGCUUGCAACCAGACUUGCGCGCGGCCGAUCAUCCGGUGUUCUCACCGGUGCACUCGGCCGUGCUCAGGCCAGCAUCGGUUUUGGCGGCUGGAUAAAGGCCCUAGGAAUGUAGCUCCUCUCGGGGAGUGUUAUAGCCUAGGGUGCAAUGCAGCCUGCUGGGACCGAGGACCGCGCUUCGGCUAGGAUGCUGGCGUAAUGGUUGUAAGCGGCCCGUCUUGAAACACGGACCAAGGAGUCUAACAUCUAUGCGAGUGUUUGGGUGUCAAACCCAUACGCGUAAUGAAAGUGAACGGAGGUGAGAACCCUUAAGGGUGCAUCAUCGACCGGUCCUGAAGUUUACGGAAGGAUCUGAGUAAGAGCAUAGCUGUUGGGACCCGAAAGAUGGUGAACUAUGCCUGAAUAGGGUGAAGCCAGAGGAAACUCUGGUGGAGGCUCGCAGCGGUUCUGACGUGCAAAUCGAUCGUCAAAUUUGGG